AGUGGCGCACGGGUGAGUAACACGUGGGAACAUACCUCAUAGUACGGAAUAACUGCGGGAAACUGUAGCUAAUACCGUAUAUUCCAGAAAUGGGAAAGAUUUAUCGCUAUGAGAUUGGCCCGCGCAAGAUUAGCUUGUUGGUAAGGUAACGGCUUACCAAGGCUCCGAUCUUUAGCUGGUUUGAGAGGAUGAUCAGCCACACUGGGACUGAGACACGGCCCAGACUCCUACGGGAGGCAGCAGUAGGGAAUAUUGGACAAUGGGGGAAACCCUGAUCCAGCAAUGCAGCGUGAGUGACGAAGGCCUUAGGGUUGUAAAACUCUUUCAUCGGUGAGGAUAAUGACAGUAGCCGAAGAAGAAGGACCGGCUAAUUCCGUGCCAGCAGCCGCGGUAAUACGGAAGGUCCUAGCGUUGUUCGGAAUUACUGGGCGUAAAGCGCAUGUAGGCGGAACAAAAAGUUAGAAGUGAAAUCCCUGGGCUCAACCUAGGAAUUGCUUUUAAAACUUUUGUUCUGGAAUUCAGGAGAGGAAAAUGGAAUUUCCAGUGUAGAGGUGAAAUUCGUAGAUAUUGGAGGGAACACCAGUGGCGAAGGCGAUUUUCUGGACUGAUAUUGACGCUGAGAUGCGAAGGCAUGGGUAGCAAACGGGAUUAGAUACCCCGGUAGUCCAUGCAGUAAACGAUGGGUGCUAGUCGUCGGACCUUUGUUCGGUGUCGUAGCUAACGCGUUAAGCACCCCGCCUGGGGAGUAC
Molecule: ribosomal RNA, 749 nt
Filed under: uncultured marine bacterium
Lineage: Bacteria
Description: bacterial SSU rRNA
Rfam family: Bacterial small subunit ribosomal RNA
Source: RNAcentral